Molecule: transfer RNA, 71 nt
Filed under: Loxodonta africana (African savanna elephant)
Lineage: Eukaryota; Metazoa; Chordata; Mammalia; Proboscidea; Elephantidae
Rfam family: tRNA
About the family: Transfer RNA (tRNA) molecules are approximately 80 nucleotides in length. Their secondary structure includes four short double-helical elements and three loops (D, anti-codon, and T loops). Further hydrogen bonds mediate the characteristic L-shaped molecular structure. tRNAs have two regions of fundamental functional importance: the anti-codon, which is responsible for specific mRNA codon recognition, and the 3' end, to which the tRNAs corresponding amino acid is attached (by aminoacyl-tRNA synthetases). tRNAs cope with the degeneracy of the genetic code in two manners: having more than one tRNA (with a specific anti-codon) for a particular amino acid; and 'wobble' base-pairing, i.e. permitting non-standard base-pairing at the 3rd anti-codon position.
Source: Rfam by way of RNAcentral
GCAGUGGUCGUCCAGUAGCAGAAUUCCUACCUUCCAUGCAGGAGACCUGGGUUCAGUUCCUGGCCAGUGCA